UUUUUUUUUAAAAGCCUCAGAUGCCUAAGGGGUAGUCAACGCUAGUCCAACAAAUUUCACGCUCUCCCUCUCAAACUCUCGCCCUAACUUCCAUAUCCCUCUCAAUUUUUUCAGUCCCCUCUUCCUCUCAGUCCCUCUCAAACUCUCUCUCUUUCUUCUUUCUCCUCCAUCAAGCCAAUCUGAGUUUGGAUCUCGUUUUUCUUCCUAUAUGUUCUUAUAAAUGUUAAAUCUGCUUCUUCACAUUUCAUGCUCAAAGAAAAAGCAGAUAUCUGGGAUUUGGGUUGACACAGAGAUGGCCAAAAGAUUGAGCUCACAGCUCUUCGUCAGCAGAUUAUCAUCGUUCACUAAUAAUGAACAACCCAAGAGACUGUUUUCUCCUUUUGGAGAUGUUACAGAUGCAAUGGCAAAAGACCCAGUUCGAGUUCUUGUCACUGGUGCUGCUGGUAUGGUCAUUCUUUCAAAAUUUACUUCCUUUUCAGUAUUAUUUUCACUGUUUGGUUGGCUUGAAUGAAAAUGUGGAUGAAGAGAAGAAUUUCAAGUUUUUUUGUUGUUGUUAUGAGAUCAAUAAAAUUGUUGUUAUGUUGAGAUGAAUUCUUCAACAAGCAUGGAUUUGAGAUUGUUAUUUUUAUUAAUUUUUUGUGUUCCUUGGUUUAGGAGGAGACCAAACAGAGGGUUUGGUUAUGUUCUUUGGAAUAAUUUGAUAUGUUCUGUAUUUCUAAGUAUCUUGUGGACUUUGUUUUGGCAUCUGAUUGCCUUGUUCUGGAAGUGCCCUGUAGAUUCUUUGUUUCAAUCAUGGUACUCUUACACCUAUAUAAAAACAUAGGAUUGGAUUGUCUUGAUUUUAACAGGAAUUGUUUGUUGCAUCUGUCUGUUUUUGAGAAAAUGGAGAAUAUUGUUGUUUUUCAGAAAAUCUUGGUUGUUCUGUUCACUAUUGCCUUCUUUUGGAAGCUUAUAAAAUACAUGUGGAGCUUCUUGAGCAUGGAGAAGGAGCCUGUGACUGUAUUGGUUACUGGUGCUGCAGGCAUGCUCAAAUCAAUCCUUUUAUUUCUUCCCCAUCCCCACCUGUUUUAAAAUAAAAAUAAAUAAAAAAUUACAACUUCAUUUUCUUAUAAUGGUUCGAUUCAAAAUUCAGAUGCCAUGUAUUGUCACUGCCACAAAACCAUCUUGGAAUAUUUCCUGAAUUUUUAAGCUCAUGAUAUCCAAUUUUAUGAUUUGAAAUAUUGGGCUAAGUAUCUAAGUAUUUGUCUGUCAACAUAAACUUGGAUCCGUUUCUGCAAGAAAAGCUAAAGAGAAUUGUCCCUCCCUCCCUCCCUCCCUCCACUUGAGCUCCCAAUUACAAUUAAAGUUAGUGCUGUGGACGACAAUCCUCGUAACUUCACUCACUCUCACAUAUAUUGUUCUCUAAAAUUAUUGGCUUCAUUUCUCAUCCUGUCACUGCCAGGAAUAUUUUUUUAUGCCUGUUUGUACCCUCCUUUUUCAGUUUUAACUCUAUUGUUUAUUUCAUUCUUGUCUCUAUAUCUUCCAAGUUCCACACACAAACAAAAUUGGCAUAGAGAGAAAAUUUCGAAUCUUCUACUUUUUCUUUUAAUUAAUGGGUGGUUUUGUAAAUCUGUCAAUAUUUAGCCAAAUCCAUCAAUAAUUAAUUCUGACUAGCUGUCACAUAAACUUUACACUUAUAAUUUAGUCCUAAAAAGUUUGCAACCACAUCUUUUAACACCUUUUAGACUUUUAAUACUGCAGCUGCAAGAGAGUUCAUUGGUUACUUACUUUACUUAUGGGACUUUGUUGUUGCAGAUAGGGAAGAACUAAAAAAUUCUAGCUUACUAUGCAUCAGAGAAUUAAGAUUUUAAUUACUAUAAUCUUUUGAGACUGCAUAGAGUUGAAGUUGAUGGGUGGCUUUUGCUGGUUUAAUGAUAUAUUGAUUUUGAAAUGAAACAGACUAAACUCAUGUAAGCAUAAAUCAUGUGACUUGUAGAAUGCUUGAGAUGAGAGUACAUGUAUUUUGAAGCUGCAAUCCAACUUGUACACUUUCUACACAAGACUUCUAAACUGCCCUGCUGGUCCCAAGCUCAAAAUCAACUGCUAUGUUGCCUAGAUUGUUCAAUAUCACAUGCGCAUUUUCACAUACUCUUCGGUGCACUGAAUGAGAGGAAAUAACUGGUCAACUUUGAAAGGCAUUCAUGGCUGCUUUUUUUUGUUUUUUCUUUGCAUCCUUUGCAAGUUUACUUCUAGCAGAAAAGUUUCUUAUAUCUAUUCUAGCAGAAAAGUGUUUUCUUUGCAUCCUUUGAAACCUUUGUUUGAAUUAUUAUAUUACUAUGAUAUGCUUAGUAAGUUAUAAUGUGGUCCCUCCCUCCCCUGACUCAAUUAAGCACUUAUUUGUUUUUUGUUUUUUGUCUUGUUGCCAUAUCUGCUGUUCCAUAUGGAUUUAUUAGUCUAGACAAAGAGAAGCACAAAAGAAAAUGGCCGAUUAACAGGGCAUUGUUGCAUUUAUAGUAGUAAUGGUGAUCUCUUCAUUUUGUCAUUUCUUCUCCCAUUUGUAAUCCUUGUCCUAAGAUUUUCUGAUUAGUCUCUCUUUUUAAGAGGAUCUAAAGUUUCUGAUUUUUGUGAUCUCUUAAUUCAUUUUUAUUUUUAUUUUUAUUUUUUGGUACAAAGAGAGGGAGAAUUAGAAACAACGCGUCUCGAGCCCAAGUGGUCCGUAGGGGAAUCUUUUUAUUAUUAUUGUGAAUAUUUUCUCUUAUCUUCUUUUUCCUGUUUAUUUUUUGUAUUUUAUUUUUAUUAUUUUGGUUCCUCCCUCCCUCCCUCGUUGCCCCACGAACUGCGAAACAAAAAUUUGACCGAUCGGAAGAAGGAGAAAAAAAAUGGUGAAGGAGACAGAGUAUUACGAUGUUCUUGGAGUGAGCCCAACGGCUACCGAGGCCGAUAUCAAGAAAGCUUAUUCCAUGAAGGCAAUGCAGGUUCAUCCGGAUAAAAACCCAAAUGAUCCUCUUGCAGCACAGAAUUUUCAGGAAACCACACCAUUAGCUGGUUCCUCUGCAGGUGCCAUUGUCUGUGCUGUGAUUGCCUCUGGAGCCAGCAUGGAAGAGGCCUUACAAGCUACCAAAAUACUGGCUGAAGAUUGCCGGAACAGAGGGACUGCAUUUCGACUUGGGUCAGCAAAAGAGCUAGGGAAGAAAGCAUUAUAUUUGGGAGUCUCAUUUAUUGCAGAGUGGUUUAGAAAUUAAGGGCGUUUCAUUAAAUCCCAAGUAACAGCAGCAACAGGGUUAUGGGGGCUGAUCCGUCCCACAGUAUAGGAUUGCAUCGUAGAUUGAACCAAAACUACAAUAUGGAAAGAACGUGCUGGUUGCUGCCCAUGGGAAUUCGUUAAGUAUAGAGCUAGACGGGACACGUACACCCAAAUGGAAUUGGAUGAGGUGCGAGAAGAACCUGCGACUCAAGUCCUAUAAUGGCUUUUUGAUUGAACUAAACAUUCCUCCAUUUUUCAUGCCUUUCUAGCUAGUAUUUUGCAUAUAUAUAUAUAGACAAGUAAAGUAUGGAUAAUUUGUGGUGUGAGGUUGGAAAAAUUGUGAUUUGGGUGUGAUAAGUAUGGAUCUUUCAAGUAUUUUGCUUAUAUAUAUGCAGACAAGUAUGGAUAUAUUUAAA
Prunus avium (sweet cherry) is the source of this 3639-nucleotide RNA transcript. It is a transcript of the gene named chaperone protein dnaJ 10-like, with no coding region annotated. The record is from RefSeq and is a predicted model, not a curated record. NCBI's taxonomy places the organism in Eukaryota, Viridiplantae, Streptophyta, Magnoliopsida, Rosales, Rosaceae.